AAAUAAGAAGUAAAAUUUUACAUUUAGUUUCGACCUAAAAAUUUGGCAUUUAAGCCCUUAUUUA
This 64-nucleotide transfer RNA is filed under the name Cucujoidea sp. 17 KM-2017. Its description in RNAcentral is "tRNA-Arg". Lineage: Eukaryota; Metazoa; Arthropoda; Insecta; Coleoptera. The record is from RNAcentral.